Molecule: long non-coding RNA, 1106 nt
Organism: Leopardus geoffroyi (Geoffroy's cat)
Lineage: Eukaryota; Metazoa; Chordata; Mammalia; Carnivora; Felidae
Exons: 5
Source: RefSeq, a predicted model, not a curated record
GGCGGUUGGGCCGCGGCGGUCUCCAACGGCGGGCGGGAAGCGGAGGGGCGAGGAGCCGGGGAACUAGGGAAGGAGGGACUGCAGGGAGGAGGAGGAUGAAAGGGAGGAGGAGGGGAGCCCGGCCCAGCCGGAGCCAUCUCCAUCGAGAACAAAAUGGCGGCGCUGGCGGAGGGCCAGCUGUGAGGCGGGGCCGCGGCCAUUCCCCCUCCGCCCCCACCCUCGCGCCGGCCGGGCCGGUCAGGGGGAGCCCGCUCUCUUCGCCCGGCCGCGGGCGGGGAGGGGAGGGGAGCGGCCCGGCCCACUAUGCAAAGCGUCCGGCGCCGCCGCCGCCGCCGCCCCGUGGCAAAGAUGGGCCUGGAGGCAUGGAGGUAUCUACCAAAGGUCAAAUCCCUACUUAGCUGAAGAGAAGAUAAGAACUUGGAUCUCUUGGUUGAGGGGUUGAUGCUGUGGAAGACGGACGAGAAGGCACUGCUCGAGAAGCGUGGGGAGGACAGGGGAAAGCUCAUGCUCACGGGCCGCUCUGUAACCAAGACAAGCCAUGGAGGAAUGGAGGACUGCUUUUGUUCUGAGCCUCCCCAGAAAAGUGGUUUCAGGCACCAACCACGGGCCGGCGAGAAGCCACGUGGGCCACCUGGAAGAACGGAGAUGGUGUCCCCAGGUUACCUCUCAUCAUGCCUGGGACAUCCCCGCCCCUCUUCUUCAGCUCCCCAUAGCAGCCAUCACAGACCUUGGCCAUCCGGUCCUUGAGGUGACUGCAUCAAAGAACCAGGUAGCACUGUGGAGUACUAUGUAGCAACCAAAAGGAACUGAUGGUACACACGACAGCAUGGAUGAAUUUCGAAGACAUGCCAAGUGAAAGAAGCCAGACACAGAGGAGGAUACACUGCUUCAUAACAUUUAUAUGAAGUGCCAGAUCAGGAAAAGCUAACCUGUAGUGAUGGAAAUUAGGCCAGUGGUUGCCCGAACAGGGGGUGGAGGAAGUGAGUGCUAAGAGGCACAGGUGAACAUUCAAGAAAUAUUCUGUAUCUUGGGGAGCCUGGAUGGCUCAGUCGGUUAAGCGCCGACUUUGGCUCGGGUCGUGAUCUCACGGUUCGUGGGUUCAAGCC